This 84-nucleotide ribosomal RNA is filed under the name Paenibacillus sp. MY03. RNAcentral also lists the same sequence under 1 other name. Lineage: Bacteria; Bacillati; Bacillota; Bacilli; Caryophanales; Paenibacillaceae. The record is from RNAcentral.
CCCAUACCGAACACGACCGUUAAGCCCUCCAGCGCCGAUGGUACUUGGACCGCAGGGUCCUGGGAGAGUAGGACGUCGCCAAGC